AGAGUUGUACAUUCAUCAAUCUAUGUGUCACCAAUAACUGUUAGGUGAGGUGGCAUGUAAAUUGGUGGGACCGCAGUACCCACUAGAAAUCCUAGUCGUGUGGAAUUUCCGUUUUCCUAUCAGGGGAGUGUGAGGGAUUCGAGAAAAUAGUGGGAGUUACAUUUGUUCUAAAAGACCUUAGAACAGAUUAGGAUCAAGUACAAAAGUCUAACUAGAAUUUUUACUCUCUGCAGAUACAAUGUCAGCUUCAAACCCUUUGACCCGUAUUCUUGAGACCAACCGACUGACCGGAACCAAUUACAAGGACUGGCUUAGAA
Molecule: long non-coding RNA, 317 nt
Filed under: Phoenix dactylifera (date palm)
Lineage: Eukaryota; Viridiplantae; Streptophyta; Magnoliopsida; Arecales; Arecaceae
Description: long non-coding RNA (PDAC_LNC021917)
Source: RNAcentral